UCAAGUUAUUAAGGGUGCAGGGCGAAUGCCUUGGCACUAGGAGCCGAUGAAGGACGUGAUAAGCUGCGAUAAGCUUCGGGGAGUUGCACGUAAACUUUGAUCCGAAGAUUUCCGAAUGAGGAAACUCACUUAGAGUAAUGUCUAAGUAUCGUAUGAUGAAUACAUAGUCAUGCGAGGGGAACCCGGAGAACUGAAACAUCUAAGUACCCGGAGGAAGAGAAAGAAAUUCGAUUCCGUAAGUAGCGGCGAGCGAACGCGGAACAGGCCAAACCAGUGAAGUUUUCUUCGCUGGGGUUGCGGACAUAUCAUAACGAAGAGGUAUCGUAGAAGAAGAGAGUUGGAAAGCUCCGCCAUAGAUGGUAACAGCCCAGUAUUUUAAACGAGAAGACUUUAGAUAUGAUCCAGAGUACCACGAGACACGUGAAACCUUGUGGGAAGCAGGAGGGACCAUCCUCCAAGCCUAAAUACUACCUAGUGACCGAUAGCGUAUAGUACCGUGAGGGAAAGGUGAAAAGAACCCCGGGAGGGGAGUGAAAGAGAACCUGAAACCCUGCACUUACAAGCUGUAGGAGCACAUUAUUUGUGUGACUGCGUACUUUUUGUAGAACGGGCCAACGAGUUACGUUGUGUAGCAAGGUUAAGCACUUAAGGUGUGGAGCCGUAGCGAAAGCGAGUCUUAAAUGGGCGUCCAGUUACCCGACGUAGACCCGAAACCAGGCGACCUAUCCAUGAGCAGGUUGAAGCGAAAGUAAAAUUUCGUGGAGGACCGAACCCACGUACGUUGAAAAGUGCGGGGAUGACUUGUGGAUAGCGGUGAAAUUCCAAUCGAGCCUGGAGAUAGCUGGUUCUCCCCGAAAUAGCUUUAGGGCUAGCCUCAAGCUUAGAGAAACGGAGGUAGAGCACUGAAUGUCCUAGGGGGUAUUGCACUUACCGAAGACUAUCAAACUCCGAAUGCCGUAUUCUUUUGCUUGGGAGUCAGACUAUGGGUGAUAAGAUUCAUAGUCAAGAGGGCAACAGCCCAGAUCGUCAGCUAAGGUCCCUAAAUGUAAGUUAAGUGGUAAAGGAUGUGGAAUUGCACAGACAACCAGGAUGUUGGCUUAGAAGCAGCCACUCAUUUAAAGAGUGCGUAAUAGCUCACUGGUCGAGUGAUUCUGCGCCGAAAAUUUCCGGGGCUAAAACUUACUACCGAAGCUACGGCAUCAUUAUGAUGGGUAGGGGAGCUUUCUAUGCGGCUUGAAGCAUGACCGUAAGGACAUGUGGACUGCAUAGAAGUGAGAAUGUUGGCAUGAGUAGCGAGAUGUGGGUGAGAAUCCCACAGGCCGUAAACCCAAGGUUUCCAGGGGAAGGUUCGUCCGCCCUGGGUUAGUCAGGACCUAAGCCGAGGCCGAAAGGCGUAGGUGAUGGACAACAGGUUGAUAUUCCUGUACCACCAAUAACCGUUUGAGAAAUGGGAUGACACAGUAGGAUAAGCUAACCGCACUGUUGGUUAUGUGCGGGCAAGUAUUGAGGCAGUUCCGAUAGGCAAAUCCGUCGGAAUAAUGCUGGGGUACGAUGCGGAGCGAAAUUUAGUAGCGAAGUAGCUGAUUUCACACUGUCGAGAAAAGUCUCUAUCGAGGUUAAAGGUGCCUGUACCGCAAACCGACACAGGUGGGUGAGGAGAGUAUCCUAAGGCCAGCGAGAGAACUGUUGUUAAGGAACUCGGCAAAAUGACCCCGUAACUUAGGGAGAAGGGGUGCCUUCGAAAGAAGGCCGCAGAGAAUAGGCCCAAGCGACUGUUUACCAAAAACAUAGGUUUCUGCUAAGUCGCAAGACGAUGUAUAGGAGCUGACGCCUGCCCGGUGCUGGAAGGUUAAGGGGAUCUGUUAGAGCAAUCGAAGCAGUGAACUUAAGCCCCAGUAAACGGCGGCCGUAACUAUAACGGUCCUAAGGUAGCGAAAUUCCUUGUCGGGUAAGUUCC
This 1957-nucleotide ribosomal RNA is filed under the name human gut metagenome. RNAcentral's name for it is "bacterial LSU rRNA". It matches the Rfam family "Bacterial large subunit ribosomal RNA", at positions 3 to 1984 of the family's 2925-position model. The record is from RNAcentral.